Molecule: ribosomal RNA, 465 nt
Filed under: Vreelandella stevensii
Lineage: Bacteria; Pseudomonadati; Pseudomonadota; Gammaproteobacteria; Oceanospirillales; Halomonadaceae
Description: partial 16S ribosomal RNA
Rfam family: Bacterial small subunit ribosomal RNA
Source: RNAcentral
CCUACGGGAGGCUGCAGUGGGGAAUAUUGGACAAUGGGGGGAACCCUGAUCCAGCCAUGCCGCGUGUGUGAAGAAGGCCCUCGGGUUGUAAAGCACUUUCAGUGAGGAAGAACGCCUGGUGGUUAAUACCCAUCAGGAAAGACAUCACUCACAGAAGAAGCACCGGCUAACUCCGUGCCAGCAGCCGCGGUAAUACGGAGGGUGCGAGCGUUAAUCGGAAUUACUGGGCGUAAAGCGCGCGUAGGUGGCUUGAUAAGCCGGUUGUGAAAGCCCCGGGCUCAACCUGGGAACGGCAUCCGGAACUGUCAAGCUAGAGUGCAGGAGAGGAAGGUAGAAUUCCCGGUGUAGAGGUGAAAUGCGUAGAGAUCGGGAGGAAUACCAGUGGCGAAGGCGGCCUUCUGGACUGACACUGACACUGAGGUGCGAAAGCGUGGGUAGCAAACAGGAUUAGAUACCCGUGUAGUC